GAUCCUGGCUCAGGAUGAACGCUAGCUACAGGCUUAACACAUGCAAGUCGAGGGGAAACGACAUCGAAAGCUUGCUUUUGAUGGGCGUCGACCGGCGCACGGGUGAGUAACGCGUAUCCAACCUGCCCAUGACUUGGGGAUAACCUUGCGAAAGCAAGCCUAAUACCCGAUACGCUUCAUAGAUGGCAUCUGAAAUGAAGUAAAGGUUUACGGUUAUGGAUGGGGAUGCGUCCGAUUAGCUUGUUGGCGGGUAACGGCCCACCAAGGCAUCGAUCGGUAGGGGUUCUGAGAGGAAGGUCCCCCACAUUGGAACUGAGACACGGUCCAAACUCCUACGGGAGGCAGCAGUGAGGAAUAUUGGUCAAUGGAGGCAACUCUGAACCAGCCAAGUAGCGUGCAGGAUGACGGCCCUAUGGGUUGUAAACUGCUUUUAUGCGGGGAUAAAUUGACUCACGUGUGGGUCAUUGCAGGUACCGCAUGAAUAAGGACCGGCUAAUUCCGUG
This 503-nucleotide ribosomal RNA is filed under the name uncultured bacterium. RNAcentral describes it as "bacterial SSU rRNA". It matches the Rfam family "Bacterial small subunit ribosomal RNA", at positions 15 to 507 of the family's 1533-position model. The record is from RNAcentral.